UGCAAGUCGAGCGAACAGAGAAGGAGCUUGCUCCUUUGACGUUAGCGGCGGACGGGUGAGUAACACGUGGGCAACCUACCUUAUAGUUUGGGAUAACUCCGGGAAACCGGGGCUAAUACCGAAUAAUCUGUUUCACCUCAUGGUGAAAUAUUGAAAGACGGUUUCGGCUGUCGCUAUAGGAUGGGCCCGCGGCGCAUUAGCUAGUUGGUGAGGUAACGGCUCACCAAGGCGACGAUGCGUAGCCGACCUGAGAGGGUGAUCGGCCACACUGGGACUGAGACACGGCCCAGACUCCUACGGGAGGCAGCAGUAGGGAAUCUUCCACAAUGGGCGAAAGCCUGAUGGAGCAACGCCGCGUGAGUGAAGAAGGAUUUCGGUUCGUAAAACUCUGUUGUAAGGGAAGAACAAGUACAGUAGUAACUGGCUGUACCUUGACGGUACCUUAUUAGAAAGCCACGGCUAACUACGUGCCAGCAGCCGCGGUAAUACGUAGGUGGCAAGCGUUGUCCGGAAUUAUUGGGCGUAAAGCGCGCGCAGGUGGUUUCUUAAGUCUGAUGUGAAAGCCCACGGCUCAACCGUGGAGGGUCAUUGGAAACUGGGAGACUUGAGUGCAGAAGAGGAUAGUGGAAUUCCAAGUGUAGCGGUGAAAUGCGUAGAGAUUUGGAGGAACACCAGUGGCGAAGGCGACUAUCUGGUCUGUAACUGACACUGAGGCGCGAAAGCGU
RNAcentral lists this ribosomal RNA (725 nucleotides) under Lysinibacillus sphaericus. Its description in RNAcentral is "bacterial SSU rRNA". It matches the Rfam family "Bacterial small subunit ribosomal RNA", at positions 56 to 762 of the family's 1533-position model. Lineage: Bacteria; Bacillati; Bacillota; Bacilli; Caryophanales; Bacillaceae. The record is from RNAcentral.